RNAcentral lists this ribosomal RNA (301 nucleotides) under uncultured bacterium. RNAcentral's name for it is "partial 16S ribosomal RNA". It matches the Rfam family "Bacterial small subunit ribosomal RNA", at positions 509 to 807 of the family's 1533-position model. The record is from RNAcentral.
CAGUCGCCGCGGUAAUACGGAGGGUGCAAGCGUUAAUCGGAAUUACUGGGCGUAAAGCGCACGCAGGCGGUCUGACAAGUCAGAUGUGAAAUCCCCGGGCUUAACCUGGGAACUGCAUUUGAAACUGUCAGGCUGGAGUCUUGUAGAGGGGGGUAGAAUUCCAGGUGUAGCGGUGAAAUGCGUAGAGAUCUGGAGGAAUACCGGUGGCGAAGGCGGCCCCCUGGACAAAGACUGACGCUCAGGUGCGAAAGCGUGGGGAGCAAACAGGAUUAGAUACCCGCGUAGUCCCUGUCUCUUAUAC